RNAcentral lists this ribosomal RNA (501 nucleotides) under uncultured bacterium. Its description in RNAcentral is "partial 16S ribosomal RNA". It matches the Rfam family "Bacterial small subunit ribosomal RNA", at positions 30 to 523 of the family's 1533-position model. The record is from RNAcentral.
AUUGAACGCUGGCGGCAGGCUUAACACAUGCAAGUCGAGCGGAGCGAGGGUGCUUGCACCUUAGCUUAGCGGCGGACGGGUGAGUAAUGCUUAGGAAUCUGCCUAUUAGUGGGGGACAACAUUCCGAAAGGAAUGCUAAUACCGCAUACGCCCUACGGGGGAAAGCAGGGGAUCUUCGGACCUUGCGCUAAAAGAUGAGCCAAAGUCGGAUUAGCUAGUUGGUGGGGUAAAGGCCUACCAAGGCGACGAUAUGUAGCGGGUCUGAGAGGAUGAUCCGCCACACUGGGACUGAGACACGGCCCAGACUCCUACGGGAGGCAGCAGUGGGGAAUAUUGGACAAUGGGCGGAAGCCUGAUCCAGCCAUGCCGCGUGUGUGAAGAAGGCCUUUUGGUUGUAAAGCACUUUAAGCGAGGAGGAGGCUACUUAGAUUAAUACUCUGGGAUAGUGGACGUUACUCGCAGAAUAAGCACUGGCUAACUCUGUGCCAGCCGCCGCCGUAA